Molecule: ribosomal RNA, 497 nt
Filed under: uncultured bacterium
Lineage: Bacteria
Description: partial 16S ribosomal RNA
Rfam family: Bacterial small subunit ribosomal RNA
Source: RNAcentral
GAUGAACGCUGGCGGCGUGCCUAAUACAUGCAAGUCGAGCGAACAGACGAGGAGCUUGCUCCUCUGACGUUAGCGGCGGACGGGUGAGUAACACGUGGAUAACCUACCUAUAAGACUGGGAUAACUUCGGGAAACCGGAGCUAGUACCGGAUAAUAUAUUGAACCGCAUGGUUCAAUAGUGAAAGACGGUUUUGCUGUCACUUAUAGAUGGAUCCGCGCCGCAUUAGCUAGUUGGUAAGGUAACGGCUUACCAAGGCGACGAUGCGUAGCCGACCUGAGAGGGUGAUCGACCACACUGGAACUGAGACACGGUCCAGACUCCUACGGGAGGCAGCAGUAGGGAAUCUUCCGCAAUGGGCGAAAGCCUGACGGAGCAACGCCGCGUGAGUGAUGAAGGUCUUCGGAUCGUAAAACUCUGUUAUUAGGGAAGAACAAAUGUGUAAGUAACUAUGCACGUCUUGACGGUACCUAAUCAGAAAGCCACGGCUAACUACGUG